Long non-coding RNA from Dromaius novaehollandiae (emu), 1722 nucleotides. RefSeq lists it as uncharacterized. The record is from RefSeq and is a predicted model, not a curated record. Lineage: Eukaryota; Metazoa; Chordata; Aves; Casuariiformes; Dromaiidae. The transcript is spliced from 3 exons.
CGGGGACGUGCCACCGCUGCUGUCUCGGGGCUGCGCUCGCAUCUGGGAGCCGGGGAAGGGAGCCUGAUGCAAGCUGGGAUUUAGAGGCAGGUGCAAAGGUCUACGCUAGUGAAGGCUGAUGGAAGUUCAGAGCCUUGCUAACAUACCUCAAGGCCAUGUUGGCCAAUGCCCCAGAAGUUGGUGCUGUUCGUCUGGAAUUUGUCAUCACUGGAUGUGCAUGAGCAAAGAGACAGCAGUCACUUGGUGGAUUGCCCCCUGAGCGCUGAUUUGUCACCUGAACUCCCUCCGCUCUUUCCAAAGCCAUGCAGUUCUCCAUGUUAUGCUAUGAAAGACCUACAAGGGAAAUUAAUAACAUAUAAAAAUAAAGAUGAUCCGGUGUCUGAUCCCAGUCUUUCACCUAUGAAUGACCCUGCAGUAGGAGUAAUCUGUGAUGGACUAUUUGUGUGGUGAGUCAUGCAGAACCUGUCAGCAAAGGUCUAGGACUGACUUAAAUUUUCUUCACCAGUUUUCAAAAUUACUUAUAAAAAGGCAAGGAAGGGAUAGUAGAUACAGUGCAAAGUAUUUUGUGUAUACACAUAUAGAUGGUAUAUACAAAUGCAAUAUAUGGUAAUUGAAGCAGUUUGUAAUCUGCAUUGCAACUGUUCUGCAUAAACUGUUCUACACAUAAUAUUUUUUUUCUGACAACCAGACUACUAAAUGAAGAAUGGCUUGGAGUUACUGAAGCCAACUGAAACUAUGAUAACUAAAACAGCACAACACAGCAAUGCCCACAAAAUACGGACAGACCUGUUUAAACUACAAUAGUAAAUUGAUUGAUUACUGUUGUCAAAGUUUGCUAAUCCUUACUUAUGCUGAGUAGUACCUUUUGCUGUGAAUAGUCACAUUGAAUUUAAACAGGAACUUCUAUGAAGCAAGAUGAUGGAACCGAUCUUAAAUUAGUCCAGUGAUGAGAAAAUUAACAGAGAGGGGUGAAAACCACAUAGGAAAGCAUAGAGGCAAUAGACAUGGAGAUAUCUGUAAGGUAGCCAGCGUGUAAAGAUAUACUCAGAGCCUGUUUACAGCAGUAACUAAAACCAUGCCACAUACAACUCAAAACGGGGUAAGAAAAGCUGUCUUUGUAAUGCUUUCACAGUCUGAGUGCAUAAAGACAAAAAUAAGGGAGAUCUUUAGCUGCUGAGGAACAUGACUUGUGGCACAGAAAGAGACGAUGGAUCACAGGCUCAGAUAUCAAAGGGCCUUUGUGAGGGAAGAGUCCUGUGAGUCCUCCCAGCAGGAAGGGGAAUUACUGGUAGCACUGAGACCUGUAAUAUUUUCCUUUUCUUUUUGCUUCAAGAAAAAAGUAGUCAGCAAAAUUCUGAUGGAAGAAUCUUUAAAGGACAAAGAAAGCAAAGUGAUUUUCAAACCCCACAGCUUUAAGUUGUGGAGGUGGAAAUCAAAACAAAGACAUCAACCUUACCCAUACACUUCUGACUUAUAAACUAAACAAAUUUGACCUGCCACUGCUAGGAAGGAAUAAAUAAAGCAACCCAUGACAUUAGCCUCAGAGUCAUUUCUAUGACCUUACCUGAUCUUUACCUGAAAAGCAGUGAGUGCUUUAAUCCUGAAUGAGUUUCUUUUCCGUAGCAGAAUAGAUGGAAAAAUCAGCUCUAGUUGUAUUAUUUAGUAAGACUUUUGUCUCCAUUUCUAUUAAAAUGAUCAUGCUUUUACUUCUUUUAAAUAUUA